GCUUCGACGGUCCAGCGGUAGGAUAAUUGCCUUCCAAGCAACUAGCUCGAGUUCGACUUCCGAUCAAAUGCA
Terfezia boudieri ATCC MYA-4762 is the source of this 72-nucleotide non-coding RNA. NCBI's taxonomy places the organism in Eukaryota, Fungi, Ascomycota, Pezizomycetes, Pezizales, Pezizaceae. The record is from the annotation of a GenBank genome assembly.